This 6492-nucleotide long non-coding RNA is filed under the name Phoenix dactylifera (date palm). RNAcentral describes it as "long non-coding RNA (PDAC_LNC006698)". Lineage: Eukaryota; Viridiplantae; Streptophyta; Magnoliopsida; Arecales; Arecaceae. The record is from RNAcentral.
AAUAAUUCAAUUCUCAAGAGCAAAUUGACCCCAGAAACAAUAGUUUGUCGAUUAAGAUCUUCUCAGGAUUUGUGUUCUCUGCCCAGCGUUCAAAAGGUGUAUCAACUUUCUGGACAGUACAUCUAAAGCUGAUUCAUGUUUGUCACUGAGAUCAUACUCCAGAUGAGAUGCCUGUAUAAGCCUUUUUUUGUUCUUUUUACAUCUAGGAAACCAGCAGGCAUCCAUGAAGAGGUAACCGGCUCCUAAAAGAGUGAACUGCUUCUGAAUCCCGUCAGAGGAUGUCAUUUUAAGCCGAAUCUCAAACACUUGUUGUGUUUGACUUCGGCGAUGGUCGAUGCAGGUGCAUUGCUUUGUUUCUGCUGCUUUGAGAGAGAGUGCUUCUCCAUUGCACUGAUAAAUUUUCGCAGGUGCCUGAUGUACUCGGGAUAAGUUUCUAGAUUGCAAUGACCACCACCCUUGACCCAUAGUGGAUCAUACUUUUCUUUGGAUAGCUCCCACAAGCGCUUUCCAUGGGACCAAUCAACAAUAUCAUCAGCUGUUCCCUGCAAAUGAUUGAUUGAUCAAUUAGCAUUAACGAAUUGAUCAAUUAGCGUUUACAAUGAUCAGCAUUUACAAAGACAACAAUGGUAACUCUGUAAACAUUUAAGAUUAAAAAAAAAACUAAAGAGAUUGAAAUGUAUAAGCUUGGAGAUUUAACUUGAGAUAUCUGAUAUGAAGUUCAACCACUAUUAUCACUUUUAUCAAGUGAACAACAUUGAGCACAAUUUUUAAAGUCAAUGAUUUCACCUACUUUCUCCAUCAGUCAUGUCCUCUUAGCCUACAAAAAAAAAAAAAACAUUGAGCACAAAACAAAAAACAAAUAGGUAAGUCAACAAAAAAAAUCAGCUUUGAAUCAUUAGAUCUCAAAUAAAUAAGUCCAGCAAAGAGAAUAAAAAAUAAAGAGAAACAGGAUUCCAAGUCCGAAUUUUCCACAUGUUAACCUGUGCCUCAUCAGAUACGGUAGCCAUCUUUUCCAGUAAACAUGGAUUCUUCAGACUUACCUAAAAAUAUGAACUCUUCAGAUGGGUCUACAAAUUACUUCUUGCAGGCCGACGAAAAACUUUUAUGAAUUUAUUAAUAAGCAUAUAAAAAUUUUAGAUUUGUCGAGCAAACACAAAUUUCUAUAAAGCUGCUUGAGGUACUUUUCUUCCAUGAGAAAUUCAUGCCAUUGACCCCAUGCUCUGCUAUAAGACUAGAGAUUAGAAGCAAAAUUUGAAUGCCAUUUUUAAGAAUCCAAAAAUUUGAAUGGGAAGAAAUCCUUUCGCAGGUCAAUGAGAACAGUCAAGCAAAUGGCAAAGGUGUUAGCAGUCAAAACUUGAAAUUUAAAAGAAAAAGCAUUAUGCAGAGAACCCUUGAAACUUUAAAGUGAAAUUAGGUGACACUUUUUGAAACAUCAAAGGGGAAAAGCAUUUAAAACCGGGAAAGUUUUAAAAAGUUUAAAAAUGAUGAUGAUGAAGAAAACAAGAACGACGACGAAAAACUAUCAACCAACCAUGGCAAGGUGCAUGACAGUAGGAAAAGAUCUAGACAAAAAGGAAAAAACAACAAAUCUAACGCAGAAUAAUAUAGUAUUAGGUGAAAAACCAUGAGAUGAAACAUGCAUGGGAUAACAUGAAUAGUUAUGGACUUAGUUAUGGCAUAAAUGAGAAUCAGCUUCCUCUAAGGUGAUGGAUACAUUGAGAUCUGUGUUUCAACAUUCUUUUGCACUAGCAUAAAUCUUCAGCACAUUCUGUGCAAUGCAUUCCACUCCUUUGGUCAUAAAUUUAAUUGGUAAGAACUAUAGACUUGACUUCCAAGUAAGCUUCAGUAUCCUCUCAAGACAGGAGUAAACUGCAUAUGCUUCUUGCUUCCUCAAGCACCCAAUUUGCAUCCAAAUCCAGAAUUGAAUUAAUCAAAGUUUCACUAAAAUACGACCAGCCUCCAGCAUGAAAUUUAACUACAUAGAUCUUCUGCAUGAACCCAUCAAGAUUCCAAGCCUAACUACUCCAAUUGAUUAAAGGUCAUCAGAACAUUAUCGAUCAAUUAUGCAACAUACACUAUGUUGCUUCCUCCUGCAUUAGUUGCACAGGCAUCAAUGCAUAACANNNNNNNNNNNNNNNNNNNNNNNNNNNNNNNNNNNNNNNNNNNNNNNNNNNNNNNNNNNNNNNNNNNNNNNNNNNNNNCAGUACCUGCCAAUCUCUGCUAACUAGCAUGGACGAGUUACAUUCAUUAAUAGGCUUUCUACUCAUUCAUUAGCUUUUCCUUAAUGAAGUUUCAAACUUAUAGUUUCAGAAUACCUUUUGAUUGAAGUGUGAAAUAUUUCAGCCAAAGUAGAACUGCUUAACCAAAUAUACCAAAACUAGAAUAAAAAUCUGUAACAACCCAAUACCUCACCCAAAAAGGCUAGCCUAGAAGGUCAUAUUUGGGUUCCUUGCCCUGUAUAAGUACCGAAGACCUUCUCAAUACACAAGCAAUAUCAGACUAAACACAUGCCAGCACGGUUCCUUACCCCAUUUAUGCCCUAGCACCCCCGCCAAACUAGGGGAUGAAAUACAAUCAAAUUCAAAUAUAAUUCAAUCAUAAACACCACACCACAAUCCACCACGAUUGUUACCAUUUUCAGCGACCCAAGACCUCAACCAAAAAGGCUAGUCUUUAAGAUAUCAUUUGGAUAUCUUAUCCUUGUAUAAGUACCCAAGACCUCCAUAAUGCACAAACACUCUAGGACUAAAGACAUGCCUGCACGUUCCUCACAUACUCUUCACGUUUAAGCACUAGCAUUCUCAUCACAUUAAGGGUCUCAACCCACUUAAAUUCACAUCUAAGCAUACCACGAUCGGCCCAUGGUUAGUCCUAAAAGAGCUCGUGGUACAGUGCCCUCUAGUCCGCACAUGCCAUGGGCCAGGUUUUCUCUGAUACCGUUUGUAAUGGUCCAGAACCUUACCCAAAAAGACUAGCCAAGAAAAUAUUAUAUAGAUUCUCUGGCCCAAAACCUCCCUAGCACACAAUCAAUGUGAGACUAAACACAUGCCUACAUAGGUCCUCGCAAAAUCAAUUGGAAAGAUCACUAUGAAAAUUAUAAGAAAAGCAUAGGAACAUAAUACAUACAUACACCGAAGCAUAGGUGGGAGUACUUUACUUACAUGUGACAUGUUUGUUAUGCGGCUUGUGCAUAAAAACGCUUUAUAAACAUUGUGAACUUGUCAGGAAAUUUUUCUGCCCUAUGCAGAUAAUGUUUGCUCAAACAAGCUAGAAUUAUGUGCUACACAGUUAAGUAGAUUCCUCUAGGACAACAGGGCUCAACAUAUGUAGAUAAUUACUUUGGGCAGAUUGUCAUUUUGACACACUCCAGCAUAUGCCAGACAUCUAAGAUAUGAUCAUGUAGCCUAGCCACAAACGGAUGCUGAAGAUAGAUAUGUAAGACACCUAACAAAGUGUAGCACAGGUGAGAAAAAUAGUUUCUGAAGGGUUAAUUUCACAACCACAAAAAAUUGAAGGGGACAAUCUGUCCCAGCAUGUUUCUUCAUCAAGUAAAUAUGAAGUAUGCUUCCUCUUCCUCUGUUGAUCUCACUAGGCUAUGGCACCCAAUACAUGCAGCCCACUCUUUUGAAAAACCUUAAAAGAGCUAAACCGGCCUCUCAAUUUUCCUCUCUGUCCAUAAGAAGAAUACAACUUAAACACAGCCUUGAAUUUUCAAUUCAAGAGACGUGAAAAAACAAACUCUAUUUGACUUUUCCAUUUAAUGACAUAUAAAAAAUAAACUAUCAAAUAUAUAAUUCAACAGCUAUGCAAAACAUGGUGUUAGCUUUAGGCCUCGAGGUUGAAUAAUUCCACACAAACAAAAGCUUCUUGUGAUUAUACCAAUUACUGGUCAAGUUAUAAUUAGAGGCUGUAUAUACCCAGAAACUGGUCACCAUCUCUAAAAUUAAACGUACUUGUGAAAGAGACAAACAAAUAACUUAAAAUGAUUUUUAAACUUGCGCAUACUGUUAGUGCUUUCGAUGCAUCAGCCUACGAAUUCUUUACUGCAGCAUGGUUAUGCACGAAGGGGCUCAUGUGACAACAAGAGAAAUUACAUUGCAAGGGGCAAACAUGAAAUAGGAAAUGUAUAUAACUUACAUGUCCAAUGGAUAAGGACUUACAUGUAUUACAAGAACAGGACAGCUGACCUGUCGUAUCUUGUCAAUGUUCUGCAAAUGACCAGCGAGAUUUGCUCAGUACGCAACCGAAAAUCUAACCAUGCAAGAAAAUCAUGAAAAAUGCAUCGUAACUUACUUUGAAAAUAUCGAACCAGAAUGUCACCUUCACAGGGUACAAGACACGUAUGCCUGAUAGGAUUGCACUAUGAAGGACAACACCUCUCAGUUUCUGCAAGCGUGCAGCCAAGUGCAAUGUAGGUCCACUACCAACAGACUGGCCAUACAAAAUCAGAUCCUCCUGUCUUAUCCCAUACUCUUUCUUCAAACAAUCAUAAACAGCCUCUAUGUCAUAGUACGUAUUGAACUCCGAUGGCUUUUGAGAUGGAUGGCCAAUUACAAGAGAAACAGAAUAACAUCAGAAAUGGCAUUAAGAACAGAGAGUAUUUACAAUUAAAACUUGUCUAGAAUUUAUUUCCUAUUAUGACCAUAAAAGUUGUUUCAAGUUUUGUCAAGAUUUCCGCUAUGCACUUUCAAGAAGAAGCACAUAACAGGGUUAUGUGCUGAAGAUCCUAUCAACAGAUCACCUCUUACAUUGGCUAUAUGAGAUUUAUCUCAAUAACAAGGAGUUGCUAGUGUACAAUCAUUGACCUACACGUGGGCGGUAAUAGUAUUAUUUUUUUGGCAGCAUUAAGCCAAAAACCUAUUGAAUCUGUAGUUAGGAGACUGUAACAACUAGGACCUCUGAUGUUGUGAUAUUUUAGGUAUGUCCAAGUUAAGAAGUGGCCUGAAUUUAUAACAUUUGGAGAGACUAGUAAUUUUUAUUAGAAAAAUCAGAAUAAAGACAAGCAUGUGUUGCUAUUUCUGUUUUGAUGCUGCUGUUCAUAUUAAUCAGUGACAAGGACAAGUGGUAUCAUGUGAAUGGAUGAUGUCGAGAAUCUUUCAAAGGAGAAGAUUUUGUUCACUUGAUCCAAGCAGUUCAUCCCCCACACCCCCUGAUCUGUCCAUGACAGGUGAAGUAUUCACAGAAAGAAACAGUUCCCUGAUACAGGACAUCCUGCUAGCUUCCAGUUUGGCCCCUCCUAUCUUGACAAAUCCAAAGGCCAUCGCAAGGGAGGCAUGAUCUAACUCAACGAAUUAUAGAUGACAGUAGUACGGCUAUCAGAUAUUUUCCUCAAAAAAAUUGCAAAACCACUAAGAUGCUCAUUUUCAAAGCCUACAUACAAAAAAAACAAAUCUCACUCAUGCAUCUAUUCAUAUUAUGCUCACCUUCCCAGUGGAAGCCCCAUAACCAGAGUAAUCAUAACUGCAAAAAAAUAACAAAAACAUCCGUCAGCUCGUGCAGAAUAUAACAGCAAAGUCUCAGAUUCUUAAUUUCUCACUGUCUAAAAUCUAAAAGGAUAAUGAAAUCCCAGCAACACCGCAUGCAAAAGAAUUCUACAUGAAUCUCCAUCCAAAAUGGAGAAAAAGGAGGAGAACAGAGAAAGGAGCCUAUAUUGUAGUAGCGAAUUAAUCUCAUAAAUGAGGAAUACGAGCAACCAAGCUAUUAAUAUUGUGAUCACCCCUGAAAAAGAAUUUGAGAAAAAAAGAUAAUAAAUUGAACAAUAGUUAGUUAAGACUCCAAUUUUUUCGCAUAGCAUUUUUUCCAAAAGACCCCCAAUUUUUUAACAUUUCAUUUCCAACCAAAUAUAAAGGAAAUACUAGUUUGAAAAUAAAUAAGAGAGAACGAAACAUAUAUUUGCUUUCAGAUCCGAAAGUGUUUACAGAAACCCGGGAUCUCGCAAAGUCAUACAAAUAAUUCAAUUCUCAAGAGCAAAUUGACCCCAGAAACAAUAGUUUGUCGAUUAAGAUCUUCUCAGGAUUUGUGUUCUCUGCCCAGCGUUCAAAAGGUGUAUCAACUUUCUGGACAGAACAUCUAAAGCUGAUUCAUGUUUGUCACUGAGAUCAUACUCCAGAUGAGAUGCCUGUAUAAGCCUUUUUUUGUUCUUUUUACAUCUAGGAAACCAGCAGGCAUCCAUGAACAGGUAACCGGCUCCUAAAAGAGUGAACUGCUUCUGAAUCCCGUCAGAGGAUGUCAUUUUAAGCCGAAUCUCAAACACUUGUUGUGUUUGACUUCGGCGAUGGUCGAUGCAGGUGCAUUGCUUUGUUUCUGCUGCUUUGAGAGAGAGUGCUUCUCCAUUGCACUGAUAAAUUUUCGCAGGUGCCUGAUGUACUCGGGAUAAGUUUCUAGAUUGCAAUGACCACCACCCUUGACCCAUAGUGGAUCAUACUUUUCUUUGGAUAGCUCCCACAAGCGCUUUCCAUGGGACCAAUCAACAAUAUCAUCAGCUGUUCCNNN